Long non-coding RNA from Contarinia nasturtii (swede midge), 587 nucleotides. RefSeq lists it as uncharacterized. The record is from RefSeq and is a predicted model, not a curated record. The transcript is spliced from 3 exons. NCBI's taxonomy places the organism in Eukaryota, Metazoa, Arthropoda, Insecta, Diptera, Cecidomyiidae.
UUCACUUUUCAUUUAAAUGUCAACGAAACGUGCUAUAAAAGGAACUCGUUGAAGUCAACUUUAAAACUGUUUCUCUUCAUAUCAAUUGAAAACGAUAUUGAACACAUUUUUUUCAUAAGCAAUUUGUAUUUUCGUAAUAAUAUAAUUAGACGCUGACCAUAUUUUCGGCUUCACAUCAUCGAAAUAUUGGGUGUCCGGCAAACAAAUUGAACAGAUUGAAAAAUGGCUGAUAAAGCAAUUCUAGAUGGGGCGUUUGAAUAUUUGAAGGGCGGUCCAUAUGGCAAUUCGAAAAUCGCAACAAAAAAAAACAUGCUUGAUUUACUUCAAAGAGUAAAUAACAUUAUAAUGGAAAAGAUACCCGAAAAUAUCAACGUGGAAAUUUUGGAAUUUUCAGACAAAGAAUAUGAGUUUAUAGAGGGAGUUGUGAUGAAGCAAGAUAAGUUGGAAAAGAUGCUCGAGGAAUAAAAAACAACGAAUUUAAUUCAAAAUAAAGAAAAAUCAUAUGUCUCUUCAUUAAAACACCAUUUAAACAUGUGAAAUUCACUAUCAAUUUAAUGCAAUAAAUUCAUUGAAAAUCGCUAUUCAAA